This is a long non-coding RNA of Silurus meridionalis, 753 nucleotides long. RefSeq lists it as uncharacterized. NCBI's taxonomy places the organism in Eukaryota, Metazoa, Chordata, Actinopteri, Siluriformes, Siluridae. The transcript has 3 exons. The record is from RefSeq and is a predicted model, not a curated record.
UUUCCCGAACCCCUGGAAGCCAAAUGUACCAAAACAAAGGUUCUUCCAAAAGCACAUAUGGAACAAGGACACGCCCCAUUGAUGAUGCCUAAGAACUGUGAUUCUUCCACUUGUUCUUCAGUAUCAGGAGACGAGGGAACCUGUGAAGUUCUACUAACCCCAAAAGUAAAAGCUCUGGAGCUGCAGGACAGAGAGGUGAACCACAAUGGAGGAGCGAAGCGCUCAAUGCGGAAAAGCUCGUGCUUGCUCACGCCACCGAACAUACCACUGAGCUCAAAGCGGAUGAAACCAGAAACCAAACACCAACUUAUGAAGAUCCACAUAGAAUAAAGCAAGAAGAAGGUGGAUGUGGAAGACACAAUGAAGCCGGAGAUGAUGAAGUGUUUAUGGUGAAGCUGCUGAGAGGCCCUGAAGGACUAGGACUGUCUCUAGUGGAUGGCGUGGAAACUCCAAUGAAGACAAAUGGGAUUUAUGUUAAAUCUGUGAUCCCAGGGUCUCCAGCAGCUCUGAGUCAGAGGCUGAGGCCAGGCGAUCGUCUUCUAGCGAUCAAUGGCGACGGAUUGGUCGGCUUGGACUACCACACGUGAGUGGGCUUAGACAAAUAUAUACGUAUCGUGAAGCAAAAUGAACAGUACAUGGACAAAAACUUUGCGGACACCUGAUACAAAGAUUGGCAUGUGCUUUUCGUUUCCAUUUCCCGUUAUAAUAACCUCCACUCUUCCGGGAAGAUGUUCCACUAGAUUUUGAGGUGUG